GGGUCAGUAGGUUGGUCGUGCCACCGGUACGUACUGGUCUCACUGAUUCCUCCUUCCUGAAGAACCGUAAUGCCAUUAAUUUGGUGUUGCGGGGAAACAGGACUGUUACUUUGAAAAAAUUAGAGUGUUUAAAGCAAGCUAACGCUUGAAUACAUUAGCAUGGAAUAAUGUAAUAGGGCGAUCGAUCCUAUUUUGUUGGUUUCUAGGAUUGACGUA
RNAcentral lists this ribosomal RNA (216 nucleotides) under Glomeromycotina sp. Its description in RNAcentral is "partial small subunit ribosomal RNA". The stretch from base 40 to 216 matches the Rfam family "Eukaryotic small subunit ribosomal RNA", at positions 686 to 864 of the family's 1831-position model. Lineage: Eukaryota; Fungi; Glomeromycota. The record is from RNAcentral.